Molecule: long non-coding RNA, 4908 nt
Organism: Felis catus (domestic cat)
Lineage: Eukaryota; Metazoa; Chordata; Mammalia; Carnivora; Felidae
Exons: 2
Source: RefSeq, a predicted model, not a curated record
CGCAUCAGGCUUUCCUAGACUCAGCGCAAGCUCAGUGAAAAUCUGGGAAAUGUAAGUAGAAACAUGAGAGACCGCUUUAUUUGGCAGUGCUUUAAAAAAAAAAAAAAAAAAGGCAGAACAAAUGGCAAAGCAGUGUUUGGACCGCAGGAUGAACAAUCAAUAGGCAGAAAGCAAGAUAGAGGCUUCCUCAGCUUUUGGAUCGACAAUCGACAGCUGAGAGACUAUUUUUUGCUAUGGUUGACUAAAUAUGGUCAGGGAAGAGAGAGGCACAAGAGAGCCUGUUUGCCUGGGAGUGCAUGUUUCAAAUGCUUAGCUGCCUAUAAAGCUGUAACAGUUUAGCCCGUGGCCACUGAGGGAAGAAUAUAAGUUAACCUCUGUAGUGACCAUGUGGAAGUCCUGACCUUGCUUGCAGACUUGACCUCUGGAUAUGACAAGGUGGCUUCAAUACAGAUCUACCAAUUAAUCUUGGAAACUAAAAACCAAAAAAAAAAAAAAAACCAAAAACAAAAAACAAACAAACAAACAAAAAACUUCACAGCAAGAAAGAUACAGAAUAUUUCCUGCGAAGUCAGAAGAACCCAAUGUAUUCUGGUGGGCAAAGGAAAAUAGGGUGAAUGUUUAGUUACUUGGGGGGAGUGAGGUGUGUUUUGGUUUUGGUUUUUUGUCUUUUUUAGAUUAUAAAAUUAACUUCUUCUGCAACUUUCUCCCCUCUUCUGAAGCAUUUCAUCUGAAAAAUAAGCAAGGUUCAUUUUCUUGGCCGUUACAGCAACCUUCCUUGGUUGCUUAACUUUCUGUACAGCAGAUACAAGGUACUCCUAUCUGUGCAAUACUGGUAAUAUGACAUUGCAAAUCAAAUGGCCAACUGCGAUUCAAUUUUAUUGCAGUUUUGUUUUUUGGUUUUUUUUUAAGGUAAAGGCAAGGGAGAGGAAAAAGACAGCUUAUUUUUUUGUUUGUUCGUUCAUUUGUUUUUCAAAUGUAUCUUAAAAGGUGAGGUUCUGCAUUCACUGAUACAGCCCCCUUACUUCUCUCGGCUCCUGAAAAGAAGUGCUGAAUCAGCGAACAGAGUGAAGGAACAAUCAAGAUGAAAUGGCUGCUGCUGAUGUGACUCUUUAGGUCACCAUCUCUCUUCCUCCUGCAAAUGCUGCAUGGCACUAAGCUUACCAGGAUCUAGAAGCAAACUACAAAAUAAGAAGAAAUUCUCUCUGAAGACUAUGAAGAAACAUUAGGCUGAUCUUCCCAAUUUCUGAAGUAUACUCUGUAAAAACUCCACUGAUUCUAUGAAUCUCUGGCAAAAACAACCAGACCAGGACAAAGUUCAACAGAUAACUGGUUAGUGUUUAGACAUGUCUAUGUCUACCAAGAACAAGGAACCAUAAAAGGCACUAAUGCUAUGAUUCAGGUAAAUCUGUUAUAGUUUAGUCUUUGAUAGUCUCUGCAAAUGAUCUAUUAUUGCUCUGUAUCAGUAAGCUCAAUGUUUUACUAACAAAUGGGAAAAUAAAACAUUUCAUGUUUUUACAGCUAACAACUUAGUGAAACCUACUCAGAGUACAUACUUCUUUAUGUACCCAUAUGAACAUACAAUGCUAUGGAAUGUAAAGAAGUAUGUAUUUUUGGUAGGCAAUAAACUGCCAAGAGGGAACUAAACUGCAGCUAAAAGAAGCCUUUGCUUCUUUCUAUGUGAAUGACCUUCAUACGGUAAAUUAACCUAGUAUCAAAGAGAUGACCUUUGACAAUACUAACACCAUAAAAAUGUACCUACUACUUUUAGAUGGAAACAAAAUGCUGCUAAGAUUUCUAUUUUGUGAAGAAAAAAGAGUUUGAGGGAGAUUUUAAAUUAUCAUAAAACUCCUUUUAAAUCUUUUAGGUUUAAAAUAUACUACCUUUUACAUUUUUAAAUUAAGUAUGCACAUGAUAAAAAUUUGAAUACAGAAAAGAAACCAGUAUUACUAGCAAAAUGAAUGAGGGAUACAUACACAUGACCCAGUUUCUGUCUCCACAAUUCGACCUUAACUGAAGUAUAUCAUAUCACAUUAGUAGGAUCAACUGAUUUGUUAAGAAAAAUAAGAUAUGACAAAAGCUUAACUCCAUUACAUUUCAACAACUGCUCUUCAUAUUUUGAUUAAUUUAUAGUCUGCUAAUAUUAGAGGAAUUUCUGAAGCAAGUUUUGUUAUUUUAGGCUUUCUUUUUUUAAAACUACACAGUCAUAAUUCUAAAAGACUAUCUUUUAAGUAACACAUUCUACUCUCAAAAAAAAAAAAAAGUGGUGGUGUUAAUCACCAAGUUAAUCAGGUCCUUAACCCAGUCUUCACUUUAAAUGCUAAAUUAUUGCUUAGAAUAAAUUAAAAUAUAAAAUUUAUGCAGGAAAAAUGACAUAUCCUGGGCCACAGUUGUAAGUUAACAGGGCAAAUUGGUAAUAGAUUGCCAAAUAUUUAAAAGAAAUUAAUUUAUUAUCUAUACUAUCCUUGAACUUGCUUUCUCCAAAGCAAAUGAAAACACUAUAGUUAAGAAAUCAAUUUACACAGAAUAAUCAUCUUUUACUGGUACUAUGCAACCGCAAUUCAAUUUUUACCAACAUGAUAGGCCCACUAUUUAUACUAUGUUGGAGAUAUCAAAAUACUUUUUUCGUAUUUUACACAAAAUUUAUUUUAUACAACUAUUAAUAAAAAUCAUAAAGCUGCUGGCAAUACUUUAUAAGCAGUACCUGUUUCAAGCUACUAUGAUAGACUUAGAAAAAAAAACCUAAUAUUUAUAUUCAUGUAUUCUAAUCAUUUCUUACUAAAAGUUAUAAUUUCAGACAUAUAUGAAAAGCAAAAUGAUGUUUAAAAUUUAUACAUGUCACAAGUUGAACAGAAAUGGCUAUGAGGUUUUAACUACGGUUAACUACAGUUAACUACUGAAAAUAUGUAUGUCAAAAAUACAGGUUCCUCUAUAAAACUAUUCAAAGGGUAUUACUAUACUCAUGCUUUAUAAUGAACGAUAAUAUUCAUUAUUCUAUAGGUAUACAAGUUUUUAAUAAUUAUUUUGAAACAGCCCAGUGACUAAGACUCUCAUUGCUAUAAUAUUAAGAGUACGUAAUCCUUAGGAAAAAAAUGACAGCACCUGUUAUUCACUUUAAAAAGUAUGAUUAUAUACUGAUUCUAGUGCUUACAAGUUUAACUUAACAUAUCUAAGAGUAUUUUCAAUCACUCUAAAAUGUCACAUCCAUCACUUAGAUCAGCUGUUCAUUUUUAACUGAGUACAUAGUAAACUCUGGGCAUCUGCUGACACUGGUGUAACUCAAACAUUUCAACUGUCUCUCUGACAGGGAUAACAGAUGCUGACAUUAUCAAAUGCCAUGGCCUCUCCUUGCCCCGAUAUGGCCAGUAUAUGAAACUGCACUGCCAUCCAAAAGCACACUUGAGCAACUGGAUCUGCUAACCAGCUCCCAUAUAACCAGUAAAAAUAGAAGUCAGUUUUAUUGCUAUCUUCAGCACUUAAGUCUACGCAAUUUAACACCUGUUUCAUUUCUAUUAGAAUAAAUGGAAAGAGUCGUAGUUACAUUAAUUUCACCAGCAGCAUGAUACUUAACAACCAACAGAUGCACAAUAUACGUAAUAUGAGAAUUGUUUAAAUAUUGCCUGAAUUAGUGUUGACCUUCUCCCAGUUUAGUUCAAAACAUUAACUGUUUCUUUACUCUGCAUUUCACUGAAAGUACUUAACUCAUUACUUUAUAGGCCAACUAUAAUUUCUCAAACUUUUAUUUUUGCAAGUAUAUUUCAGAGGAUAUCCCCUCCCUGAUUCUGAAAUGCAACACUGAAAUCACAUUAUAGCAAAAAUCUGCUCUACUGACUUUUAAAGUAUUACUUACCUGAUUUUAAUAUUCAAGUUCACUGAUUAUAGCUGUACACCAAAAGUCAGUGUAUUAUUAAGCUGAUAAUGGAAGUAACUAGGCAAUCUGUACGCAAAAUGAUAGAGAAUUCCGCAGGGGAAACAGACUUGAAAAGGGUUACAUUACUAACCUAGGAUUAGUAACACUACAUAAGCAAAAACAAAGAAAAAAGCUGGCAUGCAUGGUAGUGCCUUUCAACACAAGUCCAAGCAAUACAGUGAAUACACAUGUGAUCUAUUUAUAAACCAAAGGGCAGAGGUACUUUCUUAAGGCCACUCAUAUUCCUCCAUCCCUUCCCUGUCAGCAACUUGCUAUUAGUCCUCAAGUAUAAUACUGAAGGAGCCACAGUAGAAAGGUAUGACUUUAGUGCUCUUCCCUAUUAGCUUAUUCACUUGGUUCAGUGCCUACAAACAGAAAAUAGUACUCUGAAAUACAUCAAGGUCUAUUUGUUCCUUUAAAUGCUGUUGGUUUUAAAAACAGGUUAUUGUCCACACUUAAGAAUUACACAAAGGUGUACACUGAUAAUCCCUUAAUACAACAACAAAACAUGAAAGGGCAAAGACUUCUGUUCCAUUCGAGUAGGAAGUAGGAAAAGUGCCUUCAAAAUAGAAAAGUUCACAUGUAAUGACUGAACUACUACUGAUAGGAGAAUCUCUAACAUUUGUAGAAUGUCCAUAACCAUAAUUAUACAAAUAAAAAACAGCUCUGCUGUUUUGUAUCCCAAACUAGCAACACUGCAAUGCUUUGCUAGAGCUGGUAAAAUGGAACCAAAUCGCCUCUUCAAUGGAUUUGGUCCCCUUCAACCAGCUGUAGCUAUGCAUUGAUUACUACAGGACAGCCAACGUUUCACUGAUAAAUAUCAAUCACAUGUAAAUGAAUUUCAGCUUAUUUACAUUAUUUGGAUUGUGGUUUCAAUCAAAUAAUUUGUUACUGUUAAUUCCCCUUGGAAGAACCAUAGUGGUUAACAAUGUUUAUAAAAUGUUUUAUGAAAAAUGUGUGGACAACUUAAGGAUUGCAAAUAAAAUAAUUUUAUUUAUUUA